ACUGCACCUGGUUAGAAAGUAGUCAAAAAAGUUGCUUUUUGGCGCGUUAUGAAAGAUGCUUUCGCCUGUUUCAGUGCGAACUUUUAGUUGUUUUUCCGCGCCCUCCACUUGCCACUCGCGGCUGCGAGGGCGCGCUCGGCUGAAACUCAGUGUUGCUCUGAAUGGCCCCGCGUACGGACCCGCCCGCGCGUCUGUCGGCCGAUGAAAGCACGCGGUAGAAAGUCGAUCGCUACGGGCUGUGUUCUUCGUGAUUAAAACUUGUGAUAUUUGCGGUUGGAUUGUUUUUUUCAGAACUAAGACAAUACCUAGUGUUACGUGUUAUCCUAAAGCCAGUGACAGUCGGAUGGACGUGCAGUUGAGAUCAAGUGAAAGUCGGUAAUUUCCCGGUGUGGGAAGGAAGCAACAAUGGAUCACCUGUUCCGCCAGCGGCGGAUAAGCGUGCCCAAGCGCACGAGCGAGCUAGUGGCGCUGGUCGCGGUGUCGUGCACGCUGUUCCUGUUCCUACACACGCGGGACCUGAGCACCAAGCUGCGCCGCAUGGAGGGCAAGCUGAACGAC
Long non-coding RNA from Cydia splendana, 558 nucleotides. RefSeq lists it as uncharacterized. The record is from RefSeq and is a predicted model, not a curated record. Lineage: Eukaryota; Metazoa; Arthropoda; Insecta; Lepidoptera; Tortricidae. The transcript has 3 exons.